GACGAACGCUGGCGGCGUGCUUAACACAUGCAAGUCGAACGGAAAGGCCCUGCUUUUGUGGGGUGCUCGAGUGGCGAACGGGUGAGUAACACGUGAGUAACCUGCCCUUGACUUUGGGAUAACUUCAGGAAACUGGGGCUAAUACCGGAUAGGAGCUCCUGCUGCAUGGUGGGGGUUGGAAAGUUUCGGCGGUUGGGGAUGGACUCGCGGCUUAUCAGCUUGUUGGUGGGGUAGUGGCUUACCAAGGCUUUGACGGGUAGCCGGCCUGAGAGGGUGACCGGCCACAUUGGGACUGAGAUACGACCCAGACGCCUACGGGAGGCAGCAGUGGGGAAUAUUGCACAAUGGGCGGAAGCCUGAUGCAGCAACGCCGCGUGCGGGAUGACGGCCUUCGGGUUGUAAACCGCUUUCGCCUGUGACGAAGCGUGAGUGACGGUAAUGGGUAAAGAAGCACCGGCUAACUACGUG
Molecule: ribosomal RNA, 468 nt
Filed under: uncultured bacterium
Lineage: Bacteria
Description: partial 16S ribosomal RNA
Rfam family: Bacterial small subunit ribosomal RNA
Source: RNAcentral